AACGCAUAUUGCGCUCUCUGGUAUUCCGGGGAGCAUACUUGUCUGAGGGUCGGUAAAUCCAAAUCCUCAAUUUUUUUUGGGGGUCGAUGGGCGCAUCCGUUAGCCAUUAUUUUUGGAUAUCGGUCGCCUGAAAUAAUAUAGCUUCCGCGACAGCAGCGGAUCGCGUAGUAAGUGUUUUUUACAAAUGCAUCUCGCGAUUAAGCGGUGGCGGUAAGUUAAAGCAUUUGCUAGGGACGUUUUGUUGCGUUUCCUACCUUUUUUUGUCUCGACCUCAGAUCAAGUAAGAGCACCCGCUGAACUUAA
RNAcentral lists this unclassified non-coding RNA (303 nucleotides) under uncultured fungus. RNAcentral's name for it is "partial contains 5.8S ribosomal RNA, internal transcribed spacer 2, and large subunit ribosomal RNA". The record is from RNAcentral. Lineage: Eukaryota; Fungi.